AACGUAGGUCACAAGCGUUGUCCGGAAUUACUGGGUGUAAAGGGAGCGCAGGCGGGCGAUCAAGUUGGAAGUGAAAUCCAUGGGCUCAACCCAUGAACUGCUUUCAAAACUGGUCGUCUUGAGUAGUGCAGAGGUAGGCGGAAUUCCCGGUGUAGCGGUGGAAUGCGUAGAUAUCGGGAGGAACACCAGUGGCGAAGGCGGCCUACUGGGCACCAACUGACGCUGAGGCUCGAAAGUGUGGGUAGCAAACAGG
RNAcentral lists this ribosomal RNA (253 nucleotides) under Faecalibacterium prausnitzii. Its description in RNAcentral is "partial 16S ribosomal RNA". It matches the Rfam family "Bacterial small subunit ribosomal RNA", at positions 524 to 776 of the family's 1533-position model. The record is from RNAcentral. RNAcentral also lists the same sequence under 1 other name. Lineage: Bacteria; Bacillati; Bacillota; Clostridia; Eubacteriales; Oscillospiraceae.